Molecule: non-coding RNA, 74 nt
Organism: Schistosoma mattheei
Lineage: Eukaryota; Metazoa; Platyhelminthes; Trematoda; Strigeidida; Schistosomatidae
Source: Rfam
GGGCUCACCAUUUUAGUGGCCCAUGGAUCUGACUCCAGAUCAGAAGGCUGCGUGUUCGAAUCACGUCGGGCUCA